CCUUCGGUAGCUCAGUUGGUAGAGCGGUGGACUGUAGAUCCGUAGGUCGCUGGUUCAAAUCCGGCCCGAAGGA
RNAcentral lists this transfer RNA (73 nucleotides) under Dryococelus australis. RNAcentral's name for it is "tRNA-OTHER". It matches the Rfam family "tRNA". From Rfam's summary of the family: Transfer RNA (tRNA) molecules are approximately 80 nucleotides in length. Their secondary structure includes four short double-helical elements and three loops (D, anti-codon, and T loops). Lineage: Eukaryota; Metazoa; Arthropoda; Insecta; Phasmatodea; Phasmatidae. The record is from RNAcentral.